AGUCUUAGGGGCUUUGGAGGCUUGAGUUAUUCCUAGGAGUCGUGAAUGGCUACAGAGAACGGGAUGAUGGCUCAGAGCCAGCUUUUCGGCGGUUACCCUUGUUUAUAACAGGAAAUGCUCCUUUCCUGGGGGUCUCACUGAUGGGGAACUCACUUUACGGAACAGACUGACCUCGAACUCCUGUUUGUGCCUCCUAAGCACCGACAUUAAAGCCCGUGGCCCUAACAUGCCAGCAGCCUAGCAAUUCUGAAAACGCAACGAUCAUGCUUAUCUCAAGACAGAUCUCCUAAAAUGGCAGUGGAGAUAUUCUUUGAGAAGAGCCCAGGUGGAAAGGGAAAUCACUGCUAGGGACGCACUGUCCUCACAGUGGAAGGAAAGAGCAAGCGAAGACCAGAAAGUGCCGAAGAGGCUUCCCCGGUGACACGUCAGCCAUGUCUACUCCCACUCACUGGCCAAGGCCCUUCUGGCCGAAAGCAACUGGUUAGAGGGACCAGUACCUUCCCCACAGAGGGUACAGCAGAGUACAGAUCAUGGAAAGUGCCCUUCCCACAGAAAGUACAGCAUGGGAAAAAUCAAAUUCCUGUGUCUCUGACUCCACCCAUGCGCUCUGUCCCAGUAUUGACUGGGAAGGAACCUGACAUUGAUUUUGGUUUUCUUAGAAUUCGUGUAAUACUCUGGGCAACAGUUAGCAAAUUCUUAUUCAUACGUCACCCUCCAGAUGAUAACAGUAGUUGCAUAGUUAAAAAUAAUUCUACAGUUGAGUUAUUUUGGCAAAGAAUGGGUAUGAACAAUGUCCCCAAAUAUUCAUAAUUUCUGCUGCCAUAUUAAAUGUUCUGAAAACCACUACUGCAAACAGCUAUCUAAGCCAGAAUUGGCAUCACAGAAUCAGGUGUGUGUGUGUGUGUGUGUGU
Long non-coding RNA from Mesocricetus auratus (golden hamster), 911 nucleotides. RefSeq lists it as uncharacterized. The record is from RefSeq and is a predicted model, not a curated record. The transcript has 3 exons. Lineage: Eukaryota; Metazoa; Chordata; Mammalia; Rodentia; Cricetidae.